GAUUAGUUUACUUAAAAAAAUUACUUUGUAUUUAAUUGGAUUAUUCAAGUUCAAUAUUGCUAGAAUUUUACUAGUGGACCUUCUGUCUAAUUGGUGUCUCUUAGUAAGGAGGUCCUGUAACUGUUGAAUUAAAAAAAAAUCAUUAGAAAUUUGAUAACCAUUUUGUUUACAGUAAAGUUGUGUCUGGUAUGAGAUUAAAAAAUUGGAGUGGAAAUUUUAAGUAAGAUUUAAGGAUGAAAGUGUUAUGGGUAUAAAAUCUUGUUAAGGGGUGAUGUGUUAUGUGUUUGGUGUAAGUUUAAAAGAUAAUGAGUAAUAGGGGGUCCCAUUAAAAAUUAAACCACUUCUUGAAUUAAACCUUAUUGUAAAAAUAAAAAUUAUAAAGAUGGAUCCCAUAUGCAAGGUGUAAGAUAAAUAGAGAAAAAUUAGAUGAUAAAUUAAAAACGAGAGGGAAAGCACAAAAAAAAAAAAAAAAUCCCCCCUUGAUGAAUUUUUUACUCCCUACCCUUGGAGGGUAACAUUUAACCACACUUUUGGGGUUGAAUGUUACCCUCAACUUUUCCUACUCGGGAAUUUUGUGCUACAUAGGGGGAAAGGGGUCGUUCCUGUCAUACCAAAAAUAACUGAAGGUGUAAGAGGCAUCAAGUAGGGCUAGAUGAG
Molecule: long non-coding RNA, 657 nt
Filed under: Populus trichocarpa (black cottonwood)
Lineage: Eukaryota; Viridiplantae; Streptophyta; Magnoliopsida; Malpighiales; Salicaceae
Description: long non-coding RNA (PTRI_LNC004122)
Source: RNAcentral